AGAGUUUGAUCCUGGCUCAGGAUGAACGCUGGCGGCGUGCCUAAUACAUGCAAGUCGAACGAGAACAAUCGGAUCUUCGGAACUGAGAAAUUCUAGUGGCGAACGGGUGAGUAACGCGUUGGUGACCUGCCCCGAAGAGGGGGAUAACAGUUCGAAAGGACUGCUAAUACCCCAUGAGCUCAUGAGAGUUAGAGGUCUUGUGAGGAAAAGGAGAAAUCCGCUUUGGGAGGGGCCUACGUCCCAUCAGCUAGUUGGUAGGGUAAAAGCCUACCAAGGCGAUGACGGGUAGGGGACCUGAGAGGGUGGCCCCCCACAAUGGAACUGAAACACGGUCCAUACACCUACGGGUGGCAGCAGUAGGGAAUAUUGCUUAAUGGACGAAAGUCUGAAGCAGCAACGCCGCGUGUGCGAUGAAGGCCUUCGGGUUGUAAAGCACUUUUUGUAGGGAUGAGGAAGGACAGUACCUGCAGAAUAAGCCUCGGCUAACUACGUGCCAGCAGCCGCGGUAAAAACGUAGGAGGCGAGCGUUAUCCGGAUUUACUGGGCGUAAAGCGCGUGUAGGCGGAUUACUAAGUUGGCUGUGAAAGCUCCUGGCUUAACUAGGAGAGGUCGGUCAAUACUGGUAGUCUAGAGUAUGUGAGAGGGAGGUGGAAUUCCGGGUGUAGUGCUGAAAUGCGUAGAUAUCCGGAGGAACACCAGAGGCGAAAGCGGCCUCCUGGCACAUGACUGACGCUCAGACGCGAAAGCUAGGGGAGCAAACGGGAUUAGAGACCCCGGUAGUCCUAGCUGUAAACGAUGUAGACUUGGCGUUGGUGGGGUCAAACCCAUCAGUGCCGGAGCUAACGCAUUAAGUCUACCGCCUGGGGACUACGGCCGCAAGGUUAAAACUCAAAGGAAUUGACGGGGACCCGCACAAGCAGCGGAGCGUGUGGUUUAAUUCGAUAUUACACGAAGAACCUUACCAGGGUUUGACAUGCAAGUGGUAGUGAAGCGAAAGCAGAACGACCCCUCGGGGAGCUUGCACAGGUGCUGCAUGGCUGUCGUCAGCUCGUGUCGUGAGAUGUUCGGUUAAGUCCGCUAACGAGCGCAACCCUCGUCGUGUGUUACAAGUGUCACGCGAGACCGCCGGUCAUAAACCGGAGGAAGGUGGGGAUGACGUCAAGUCAGCAUGGCCUUUAUGUCCUGGGCUACACACACGCUACAAUGGCCAGUACAAUUGGUAGCGAAGUCGCGAGGCGGAGCCAAUCCG
This 1249-nucleotide ribosomal RNA is filed under the name metagenome. RNAcentral describes it as "bacterial SSU rRNA". It matches the Rfam family "Bacterial small subunit ribosomal RNA", at positions 8 to 1275 of the family's 1533-position model. The record is from RNAcentral.